This 1566-nucleotide unclassified non-coding RNA is filed under the name Hevea brasiliensis (rubber tree). Lineage: Eukaryota; Viridiplantae; Streptophyta; Magnoliopsida; Malpighiales; Euphorbiaceae. The record is from RNAcentral.
GUUUGAUAAGAAAAAUGCAAAUACACUAGAGCUCAGAGAGACCUACUUUAACUAGGACCUUGGGGGUGGGAAGAAUUGCGUACCAGCUAUAAAAGCAUUGAGUGGAGCUGGAUAUAGAGAUGGGUCGAGCAAGCCUCCCGCACCUGGAUUGCUAGCGAUUGUCGUAGUUGCUGUGGUGCUAGUUGUGGCUGCUGUUACGAGAUUCAGUUGCUGGGCUCCUCCGGGGGAGCUCUCUCCACUGGUGUAACGGCCAUCGGGACCUUGAUCGUAGAGAAUUCCCCUGAAAACAUGACCUCCGAUAUUGACAGCCGUUUGAUAUGCAUACUGCUCAUCCCGUUCAUCCAUUGCGCUUACUCUAACGCAACGAAACACUGCUGGGGAAUUCACUUCCGGUGGAAAAUGCGCUACUUCCAACCCUAAUUUGUCUGAGGUGGUUGUGGCUAAACGAGUGCAGGCAAGAGAGGAAGCACCACCUUGAUUCUCUCUCUGCCUUUUUGGAUUCUCUCCUCGAAAAUGUUGUUGUUGUUCUUGAUUGUGUAGUUGUUGCUGCUGUUGCUGUUCUUGUUGUAAAGCAGUUAGCUGUUGUUGCCUCUCUCGCCUUUUAGCAGCAGGAACCCAAGUGCUCUUGACGUGGGUUUGGCACUGAAACCCUCGGCUUUUACAACAAGUUCUACAUCGCAAAUGGGUACAAUCUUUUUUCGCUUGGUUCCCACAGUCUUGACAGUUCAUUCCUCCUCCUCCUCCUCCUCCUAUUCCACCUUGCCUCAUCACCGUAAAGCCUGAUCUUGAAGAUUCAUCAGAGAAACUUCUCCGACUAGGACCCACUCCAAACGAGGAGUAGCUGUUCAUGUUUUGCUGUUGCUGAUAAUACUGCGGCCAUAUCUCAAAUCCCUUGUUGUAGAUCUCCUCGUUUGAUCUGUAUAAAAACAGGUUGUUAGGUUGAUCUUUCUCUUCUUCUUGUUUAUUUGAUGCUCCCUCUCUCCCACUUAGAUAGAACCAGCCAGCCAUUUCUUGCACCCACAAGCUGAAACCAACCCCAAUUCAGACCAAAAAUCCAUAGCAAAAACGUAGCACCAAGAAGUAGCUAUUGAGAUCUGCAAGAUCAGUGGGCUUUGAUUUCUGGGUUAUUAUGUUGGGAGUUGAAAAUCGGUGGCUGUGUUUUUAAGAUAGACUUUAAGUGAGUGUUUACUGUGAGUCUGUGACCUGAUCUUCUUCUUCUUCUCCUUCUCUUUCUUCUGAUUCUGACUCUCUGAAUAUCUGAUCUUGCUGUUUGGGUUUCUUUUGCAGCUUUUUGAGGCAAAUAGAGAAAAAAAAAUAACUCAAAUUGAAAUUGAAAGAAUUUUGUUUAGGGUAAGAGACUAUGGAAGAUGGGUUUCCCUGACUGGGAGAGAGCCAGCUUUCUCCACUUAUUUUUCGUUGUUUAAAGCAAUAAUGGCACGGAAUUAGACUUCUGCAACGCCGCCAUGGUAACUGCACCCACACUCUGCUACACUCUCUGCUACACUCGCCUCAUUUAAGACAAACCUGCUUUCUUCCUCUCUCUCUCAUCAAUUACUCUCACUCACU